Long non-coding RNA from Thalassophryne amazonica, 143 nucleotides. RefSeq lists it as uncharacterized. NCBI's taxonomy places the organism in Eukaryota, Metazoa, Chordata, Actinopteri, Batrachoidiformes, Batrachoididae. The transcript is spliced from 4 exons. The record is from RefSeq and is a predicted model, not a curated record.
GUCUCCUAUCAAUAUCCUUUCAAGAGACACUUCACAAGGCUAAGGUCUGACCUUACCCACCCCCUGAGCAAGAACACUGGCGACAGUGGUGAGAAAAAACUCCCUGGAAGAAUUAAAGUGUACGAAGAAAUGAGGCUGGCACA